GACGAACGCUGGCGGCGUGCUUAACACAUGCAAGUCGCACGAAGUGGCGAACGGGUGAGUAACGCGUAAUCAACCUGCCCUUCAGAGGGGGACAACAGUUGGAAACGACUGCUAAUACCCCAUAAUGAAGGAGGGGAUUGCGUCUGAUUAGCUAUUUGGAGGGGUAACGGCCCACCAAGGCGCUGAUCAGUAGCCGGUCGGAGAGGAUGAACGGCCACAUUGGGACGGAGACACGGCCCAGACUCAUACUGGAGGCAGCAGGGGGGAAUCUUCCGCAAUGGACGAAAGUCUGACGGAGCAACGCCGCGUGAGUGAUGACGGCCUUCGGGUUGUAAAGCUCUGUUAAUCGGGACGCGGUACCGGAAUAGAAAGCCACGGCUAACUACGUGCCAGCAGCCGCGGUAAUUC
RNAcentral lists this ribosomal RNA (408 nucleotides) under uncultured bacterium. RNAcentral's name for it is "partial 16S ribosomal RNA". It matches the Rfam family "Bacterial small subunit ribosomal RNA", at positions 28 to 526 of the family's 1533-position model. The record is from RNAcentral.